RNAcentral lists this long non-coding RNA (750 nucleotides) under Mytilus galloprovincialis (Mediterranean mussel). Lineage: Eukaryota; Metazoa; Mollusca; Bivalvia; Mytilida; Mytilidae. The record is from RNAcentral.
GUUUUAUAAUAAAUGUGUUUAAUUCCAAUGCAAAGACACUAUAAGUGCAUUAAUAUUAAAGCAAAUUAUACAAUCUUUAAUGACCUGACAACAGUAUUGUAACUAUAUAUCCCUUCUUGAUAAGUCUGUUUAAAGGUUUUGUUAACUUUUGAGGUGAAUACUGACAUUUUUGUGCUUUGUAAAGAAUAUUACCAUAAUAGAUUGGAUGUGAAAUAUCUGAACGUAUAAGCAUGUUGGGUUAUAUUUACAAAUUAUUUCCUUAAACAGAUGAUAAAAUUUAGUAAAUGUUUUGACUAUUUUGUGAUAUCUAAUACCCUGGUGUAAUAAUUUUUCAGUAAUACAUAAAUUUCUAUCACUAAAAUCUAAUACAUUGUUACAUACACGAGCAAAUCAUACAAGUUGAGAUAUAUAAACACCAUAAGAUAGAUGGUGACAAGGGAACGUCACUAUCUAAAAAUGGUUAAUUAAUGAUAGGAAAUGAAAAAUCAUCUCUUUUAGCAUAAAUUUUUGUAUUAAGCUUCCCGUUAACGAUAUGGAUAUCAAGAUCGAGGAAAGGGCAGUGGUCAUUGUUAGUAUUAGCUUUAUUUAAAGUAAGUUUAACAGGAUAAAUUUCUUUAGUUUACAUACUGAAGUCGUCGUUAUUGAGAGCCAAUAUAUCAUCCAAAUAUCUAAAAGUAUUGUUAAAUUUUUGUAUCAAAUGUUGUUUCCAUGGGUCUUUGCUGAUUUUAGUCAUAAAUUGUAAUUCAUAAC